UACACUUGACAGUGUUUCCUCCUGGUUGCUU
This 31-nucleotide non-coding RNA is filed under the name Mus musculus (house mouse). The record is from RNAcentral. Lineage: Eukaryota; Metazoa; Chordata; Mammalia; Rodentia; Muridae.